This 310-nucleotide ribosomal RNA is filed under the name uncultured bacterium. RNAcentral's name for it is "bacterial SSU rRNA". It matches the Rfam family "Bacterial small subunit ribosomal RNA", at positions 100 to 429 of the family's 1533-position model. The record is from RNAcentral.
GACGGGUGAGUAACGCGUGAGAAUCUGGCCUCAGGUUCGGGACAACCACUGGAAACGGUGGCUAAUACCGAAUGUGCCUCAGGGUGAAAGAUUAAUUGCCUGGGGAUGAGCUCGCGUCUGAUUAGCUAGUUGGUGGGGUAAGGGCCUACCAAGGCGUCGAUCAGUAACUGGUCUGAGAGGAUGACCAGUCACACUGGGACUGAGACACGGCCCAGACUCCUACGGGAGGCAGCAGUGGGGAAUUUUCCGCAAUGGGCGAAAGCCUGACGGAGCAAUACCGCGUGAGGGAGGAAGGCUCUUGGGUUGUAAA